UACACACCGCCCGUCACACCAUGGGAGUCAGUUGCUCUAGAAGUCGGUGCGCCAACCUCGGAGGCAGCCGCCUAGGGUAAAACUGGUGACUGGGGCU
Molecule: ribosomal RNA, 97 nt
Filed under: uncultured bacterium
Lineage: Bacteria
Description: partial 16S ribosomal RNA
Source: RNAcentral